RNAcentral lists this ribosomal RNA (496 nucleotides) under uncultured bacterium. Its description in RNAcentral is "partial 16S ribosomal RNA". It matches the Rfam family "Bacterial small subunit ribosomal RNA", at positions 28 to 507 of the family's 1533-position model. The record is from RNAcentral.
GAUGAACGCUGGCGGCGUGCCUAAUACAUGCAAGUCGAGCGAACGGACGAGAAGCUUGCUUUUCUGAUGUUAGCGGCGGACGGGUGAGUAACACGUGGAUAACCUACCUAUAAGACUGGGAUAACUUCGGGAAACCGGAGCUAAUACCGGAUAAUAUUUUGAACCGCAUGGUUCAAAAGUGAAGACGGUCUUGCUGUCACUUAUAGAUGGAUCCGCGCUGCAUUAGCUAGUUGGUAAGGUAACGGCUUACCAAGGCAACGAUGCAUAGCCGACCUGAGAGGGUGAUCGGCCACACUGGAACUGAGACACGGUCCAGACUCCUACGGGAGGCAGCAGUAGGGAAUCUUCCGCAAUGGGCGAAAGCCUGACGGAGCAACGCCGCGUGAGUGAUGAAGGUCUUCGGAUCGUAAAACUCUGUUAUUAGGGAAGAACAUAUGUGUAAGUAACUGUGCACAUCUUGACGGUACCUAAUCAGAAAGCCACGGCUAACUACGUG